GUUGAUAGGGCUGCAAUGGCAGGUUACUGUGAUAUAGUAAUAAUUAAAGGUGACUUUCGUCAAUG
RNAcentral lists this transfer RNA (65 nucleotides) under Postharmostomum commutatum. RNAcentral describes it as "tRNA-Ile". The record is from RNAcentral. Lineage: Eukaryota; Metazoa; Platyhelminthes; Trematoda; Diplostomida; Brachylaimidae.